Small nucleolar RNA from Oncorhynchus keta (chum salmon), 140 nucleotides. RefSeq annotates it as small nucleolar RNA SNORA57. The record is from RefSeq and is a predicted model, not a curated record. The transcript has a single exon. NCBI's taxonomy places the organism in Eukaryota, Metazoa, Chordata, Actinopteri, Salmoniformes, Salmonidae.
CCUCCAUUCUUGGCAUGUACUUGGCAUGUACAUUCUUGUACUCGUGUGUAUGUGUUAUGGAGGUAGAACAAGUCCAGUGCCAUGGCUUCGGUGGCAGUGUUCCCUGUCUUCUGGUUCUAUCCUCAGGCGCUGGGGCGUUC